GGCAGCUGCUUUUCUGGCAGGGGCAUGGGUGCCAGGUACAGCGCAGAGCUGGGCCGAGCAUGCCGAGAGCCUGGGGGACCCGACGCCGGCCGGGAUUACGCCUCUCUCUCUGUGUAUAUAUAUAAAAAUGAGUCCCUCUGUACAUGUAUUUAACCGUGGGUACACGUGCGUGUGUCUGUGCGUGUGUCCGUGCGUGUGUACGUGUGGUCUGCAUGUGUAUGUGUGGCGCGGGCAGAGCGAGUGCGCGCCCAGGAGGCAGUGGGAGCCUUGUCUGUCUCGUGACUUCGUACCUCUCAAGCCCCUCUUUGUACUACACUGAACGCUGGCACUUUGGCACUUUGGCGGAGUUGGAAACAAAGCCAGACAUUAAAGAUCAUUUCUCCUGUGCGGCUAACCUGAAAAAAAUCCAGACCGCAGAAUUUUCUGGAUAAGAUAUGGAUCCAUGUGGCCAAGCAACACACCUGGGCACAAGAUCCCUCCUAAGCUCUUCCAACUGACGGCUGCCUGGGAAAGAAACACUGAGGAAAGUCACACAGAGAUGACUCGCCCCUGUUUAAGAUCUGAUUAACUAAGCCUGAUAGCC
Molecule: long non-coding RNA, 583 nt
Organism: Myotis davidii
Lineage: Eukaryota; Metazoa; Chordata; Mammalia; Chiroptera; Vespertilionidae
Exons: 3
Source: RefSeq, a predicted model, not a curated record